GACGAACGCUGGCGGCGUGCUUAACACAUGCAAGUCGAACGGAAAGGCCCUGCUUUUGUUGGUUGCUCGAUUGGCGAACGGGUGAGUAACACGUGAGUAACCUGCCCUUGACUUUGGGAUAACUUCAGGGAACUGGGGCUAAUACCGGAUAGGAUCUCCUGCUGCAUGGUGGGGGUUGGAAAGUGUCGGCGGUUGGGGAUGGACUCGCGGCUUAUCAGCUUGUUUGUGGGGUAGUGGCUGACCAAGGCUUUGACGGGUAGCCGGCCUGAGAGGGUUAACGGCCACAUUGGGACUGAGAUACGGACCAGACUCCUACGGGAGGCAGCAGUGGGGAAUAUUGCACAACGGGCGGAAGCCUGAUGCAGCAACGCCGCGUGCGGGAUGACGGCCUUCGGGUUGUAAACCGCUUUCGCCUGUGACGAAGCGUGAGUGACGGUAAUGGGUAAAGAAGCCCCGGCUAACUACGUG
Molecule: ribosomal RNA, 468 nt
Filed under: uncultured bacterium
Lineage: Bacteria
Description: partial 16S ribosomal RNA
Rfam family: Bacterial small subunit ribosomal RNA
Source: RNAcentral